Long non-coding RNA from Motacilla alba alba, 1499 nucleotides. RefSeq lists it as uncharacterized. The transcript has 4 exons. The record is from RefSeq and is a predicted model, not a curated record. NCBI's taxonomy places the organism in Eukaryota, Metazoa, Chordata, Aves, Passeriformes, Motacillidae.
GGGGCAAGCACCGGUGGCUAAUUGGACCGAAGCCCGGGCGCCUGAGCCGCCCAGGGGAUCCCCGGGGCAGCGGGAGGCUGGUGGGGCAGAGAAACUUUGACUUAUUCUCACAUAGUAGUUACUUGGCAAAUGUGACCAUUGUUUUGGAAUGAGAAUUCAUGUGUUGCACCAUACUCUGGCUUAUAAAAAACCUUAUAUUUAAUAAAACCUCUGAUACAGGGAAAUUGCUUGUUAAUUCAGCUGAUUCAGGAAGAUCUUUGCUGAAUAUUUUCAUGGCAAAAGGACUUCUACUUACUCCCAGUAAGGAAGCAGAAAUAGGAAAGAUGAAAAAGGUUUGAAAACCAUAAGACAAUCUUAAGCAUUUUUACUGACUACGGAGCCAUCAUAACCAAAACCAAAAACUGAAGUUGAAACUUUGCAGGAGGCAGGAGAGAGCAAACCAUGCCCUUUGUACAGACAGCAUGUUUGGACUUGGUUUGGGAAGGAUGAGAGCUGCAGUCUGUAGCACACAGCACAGAUUGCAGGUGAGCAUCUGUGGCAGCAGACAGCUCUGUGAACACAGUCAUUUUGAUGAAAACAAGUGUUUGAGCACUUUUAUACAUUGGCAUUGUUAGAAAUUAUAUUCCAAGUAUGAGUGACCUGAAAACUGCUUUUAAAUUUUUUCUAUCCUCUAGGACUUCUGCAAAGAAUUUUUUGUAGAUCUCUAGGGGCUUUGUGGUUACAGAUCUCUUGAUUUGUAGGUAGUGUAUCAACUGCAAAAACUGCUUUCCUUUUAAGGAAAAACUUCUUAUAGAGGUGUCUUUUCUAGGUUUACGAAAAAUGUCCAGCUUUAUUGUAAAAGUGGUGUGCUCACUUCUACAUUUUAACUGUCUUGGGAUUUUCAGACCAGAAAUAAAAUUUUGAUUAUAGUUUCGUAUUGAUACACACUUCUUUUAAACGUGCUUGAAAGUUUCAUAAAAUUAUUUCAAACUUGUCAUAAAGUUGUAAAGACAAAGCUUAUUAAUUCUAAAUUACAUUGAGUCUUUUUCUUCUCUCAGUUGUACACUCUUGAGGAUGGUGGAGCUUUACUAGUAUGAUGCAUCAAGCCAGGGGCAGUGCAGGUGUUAAUUACAUUUGUAAAAGUAGUAAUUAAAUAGUUUUAAGUAAUUAAAUAGUUUUUACUUCACACAGAGACCAGGAACUCCAUGCAAUAAAUUAAUUGAAUUUAGAAGUCGGAAAAUAAGAGAAUAAAUCUGGAUUGCAGAAGGCACUGCCAGAAAUCUGUGACUAGAGUGGUUGGAAAAUAAAUUAUACUCUUUUCACACACCUUUCUUAGUCACUGUUUCAUUUAAUCAUGAAAAGGGAGGUUGGACUAGAUGUCCUUUUAAAAUUCUGUUCCAAACAAACGCAUUCUGUGGUGAUUCUGUAUAGGCAUGGACAAGCCUGCAUCAGCUAGUACAUAUCAGUUUUAUCAGUGCAGUAUAAUUCAUCACUAUUUCUACAGCUCCUCUGCAGCCUUA